Molecule: non-coding RNA, 73 nt
Organism: Stegodyphus mimosarum
Lineage: Eukaryota; Metazoa; Arthropoda; Arachnida; Araneae; Eresidae
Source: Rfam
GCCUUCGUGAUGUAGUGGUCAGCACGCUCGACGUGUAACCCAGAGGUCCGUGGUUUGAUUCCCGGAGAAGGCG